RNAcentral lists this long non-coding RNA (2331 nucleotides) under Vigna radiata. Its description in RNAcentral is "long non-coding RNA (VRAD_LNC005172)". The record is from RNAcentral. Lineage: Eukaryota; Viridiplantae; Streptophyta; Magnoliopsida; Fabales; Fabaceae.
AUCUUCAACCGUUCUUUCCUUUUCUUGAGUCUAAGACCUUCAUCUUCGACUCCAUUCUUCACUUUCUCAAAAUUGCUACAAAACAAUGCAAAACAAGCAUAAUAUCGCUAAAAAUAGCUUUUGACUCUCUACAGACUCAUUUAUUGAUUUUUGCUAAAUUCUAAGCUCAUUCUAAGUAGUAAAGGAAGUAAUUUGGUCUAAAAUGACAUAUGAAAAUAACUGUUUUUCAACCUUCAUCACACCCCAAACUUAGAACUUUGUUUGUCCUCAAGCAAACAAAACAAAACAACAAACAAAACAGAGCUUGGCUUUAUACUAUUUCAUCCAAUGAUUCAACACUUCUAAAGUACAUGAAAAACACUACACAACCUCAAAUCUUCAGUGGAAUCAAAUUAAGAUGUAUGCAUGCUUUCAAUCCAGAGAUUGCACAACAGAUGUUACACAUUAUGAAUGACCAAUCCACUAAGCAAAAAUGCACUCAUGAAAAUUAAUAAUUCAUACAAGCAAGUGUUUCACUCAAUCACUCAAAUGUUUAGGGUGACACUCCAACUCUCUAUCAUUCACAAGUCACAAGAAAUAAAAUUGUCGUUCAUCUCAAACAAUCAACAUCUUUACAUGCAAAUGCCAUCAAAAGGACUUUUCCAAGGCUUGUAAUGAGGUUGGGUUAACAAGAAAAAUUGAUUUUUCUGGAAAACAAAAUCCUUGAGUUAAGAGAGCUAUCAUAAUAUUCAACAUUUAAGCACAACUCUCUUCCUCACCAAUCUCUUUCAUUCCCAACUUUUUCCCUUUUUCUUUUUUCAUUGAGCUCAUCUUCAUGCUUUUUCUUAUUUUUUCUUUUUCUAAUGCAUUUUUUUUUCAACAAUUGAGCUCAAUUCUUCUUAAUAGCUUUCCAAUUUCCCCCAUGCAACCCCAAACUUGAACCUUUUCAUCACAUACAGUUAAGCUCAUCCCAACUCAAGGUAAAGAAUUUCAAGACAAGGGUUCAUAUCCUGUUUAAGGCUAAGGUUCAAAAAGGGUAUAAUAUUUUAAGCUCUGUGGGUGAAAAUUUGGCUAGAGAAGGGCUUUCAAAAAUGGCCUUGAUCAUAUGACAUUCACAUGCAAUUCAAUCAAUCAUCAAGAUUAAGGAAUUAUCAUUCAUGCUUUCUUGUGAAAAAUUUAUAUAAUCAACAUGAUUUCUCACACAACAUUCAUUCAUACAUCCUACUUAGCAUCAUAACCACAAUCAUAAUUCAUCACACGUCUGUUUCACUGGCUAUCAACAUGCAACACUACUCAAUUAUCAAUCACAUCAAAUCAUCAUCAAAUAAGUUCAUCAUGCAAAUUAAUCAGUCAAACAUCUUCAGAAAAGUAUUUAGGCCAAGCAUACACACUGAAAAAUAAAAUUCAACCUAUUCAAAAAAUUUAAAAUGCAAAAGUCAAAAGAUAAAGCAAUAAAACCUGGGUUGCCUCCCAAUAGCGCUUCUUUAACGUCACUAGCUUGACCUGGUGGAGUUCAAACACCCAUCAGUAAGUGUUGAUACUCCCAUUUGCUUGAUGUUCUUUUGUUUUUCUUCUUUCUACUGAAUCUCUUCAGAAAAUUGAUAACACCAAGCACUUGUUUCCAUGUCUCCAUCAUAGGAACUUUGAUCUCCAAUUUCUUGAAGAUCUCCAUGAAGCAUAUAAAUUUAUUUUUCUUCCUAUGAUAUUUCUUUUUAUGAGGAAGGGGUUUUUCAUAUGAUUUUUUCUUCUUUCCUCUCUUCCUCUUUUUCUUAAUUUUCUCCUCCCUUAGCUUUCUCUUUUUCUUUUUCUUUUCUUUCUUUAUUUUCACAUUUUUUUUUCUUUUUUUCUUUUUUUUCAACUACUUCUUUUCCUUUCUCAUCAUCCUUCUUACUCUCACUCAACUUUUCUGUUUCUAUCUCCUCCAUCUUUUCCGCAGCAACAACUUUUUCUGUUUUUAUUUCCUCUUUCUUUUCUUCCUUUAUUUUCUCCUCAUAUAUCUCUAUCUCUUCUUCUUUUAUCUUUUCCUCCUCGACAACCUUAUCAUUUUUAGAGAUUGUGGCUUGAUAUUCUUCUUUAGCGUUAACUUCAGUAUUAUCCCUAAUAAUGCCCAGAGACUUCAAUACCUUUGUUAUCUCAUCUUCCUCUAUCUUCCCUUCAUCAAUAACCUUGUCAUCCUCAAAGAUAGUGACUUGACAUUCUUCUUUAGGGUUAACUUCAGUAUAAACCCUAAUAAUACCUAGAGACUUCAACGCACAAGAGUGUUGUUCCUGCAAUAAACGUUCUUCUGCUUCCCCCAACGUUUCUUUUGGCAAAGAGAAUAGUUUCUGCCGUAAACGUUCUUUACCUUCCCCC